Molecule: ribosomal RNA, 139 nt
Filed under: uncultured bacterium
Lineage: Bacteria
Description: partial 16S ribosomal RNA
Rfam family: Bacterial small subunit ribosomal RNA
Source: RNAcentral
CAAGCCUGAACGAGCGAUGCCGCGUGAGUGAAGAAGGCCUUCGGGUCGUAAAGCUCUGUUGCGGGGGAAAAAAGGCAGCAUCAGGAAAUGGGUGCUGACUGAUGGUGCCCCGCCAGAAAGUCACGGCUAACUACGUGCC